RNAcentral lists this ribosomal RNA (419 nucleotides) under uncultured bacterium. RNAcentral's name for it is "bacterial SSU rRNA". It matches the Rfam family "Bacterial small subunit ribosomal RNA", at positions 335 to 769 of the family's 1533-position model. The record is from RNAcentral.
ACUCCUACGGGAGGCAGCAGUGGGGAAUCUUGGACAAUGGGGGAAACCCUGAUCCAGCCAUGCCGCGUGAGCGAUGAAGGCCUUAGGGUUGUAAAGCUCUUUCAGGUGGGAAGAUAAUGACGGUACCACCAGAAGAAGCCCCGGCUAACUCCGUGCCAGCAGCCGCGGUAAUACGGAGGGGGCUAGCGUUGUUCGGAAUUACUGGGCGUAAAGCGCACGUAGGCGGAUUGGAAAGUUGGGGGUGAAAUCCCGGGGCUCAACCCCGGAACGGCCUCAAACAUCCCCAGUCUAGAGGUCGAGAGAGGUGAGUGGGAAUUCCGAGUGUAGAGGUGAAAAUUCGUAGAUAUUCGGAGGAACACCAGUGGCGAAGGCGGCUCACUGGCUCGAUACUGACGCUGAGGUGCGAAAGCGUGGGGAGC